This 207-nucleotide ribosomal RNA is filed under the name uncultured bacterium. RNAcentral's name for it is "partial 16S ribosomal RNA". It matches the Rfam family "Bacterial small subunit ribosomal RNA", at positions 568 to 774 of the family's 1533-position model. The record is from RNAcentral.
UGCGUAGGUGGUUGUUUAAGUCUGUUGUGAAAGCCCUGGGCUCAACCUGGGAACUGCAGUGGAUACUGGACGACUAGAGUGUGGUAGAGGGUAGCGGAAUUCCUGGUGUAGCAGUGAAAUGCGUAGAGAUCAGGAGGAACAUCCAUGGCGAAGGCAGCUACCUGGACCAACACUGACACUGAGGCACGAAAGCGUGGGGAGCAAACA